CAAUAGCGUAUUCUAACGUUGCUGCAGUUAAAAGGCUCGUAGUCGAACCUCUGGCCUUUGCUGGAUGCGGCCCCGUGCCAAGUUGCACGCGUGUUUGCCGUGUCUGCGGGUCAUCCUUCUGGAGAGCACUCCUGCCCUUGAUUGGGUUUUUUUGGGUGGUGUAAUCCAGAUCUUUUACUGUGAGUAAAUCAGAGUGCUCCAAGCAGGCUCUUUGCAGCUUGUAUGCAUUAGCAUGGAAUAAUGAGAUAGGGCUUUGGUUUUUUUCCUUCCUAUUUCGUUGGCUUUCGGGACCAAAGUAAUGAUGAAAAGGGAUAGUUGGGGGUGCUAGUAUUCAGUGGUCAGCGGUGAAAUGCAUGGACCCACUGAAGACUAACUCAUGCGAAAGCAUUCACCAAGGAUAUCUUCUUUGA
Molecule: ribosomal RNA, 410 nt
Filed under: uncultured eukaryote
Lineage: Eukaryota
Description: partial 18S ribosomal RNA
Rfam family: Eukaryotic small subunit ribosomal RNA
Source: RNAcentral